ACGCUUGAAGUCAGUCGCGUUGUCCAGAGAUCAACCUUGCUUUUGCUUGGUGUACUUUUUGGUUAACGGGUCAGCAUCAAUUGUAACUAUUGGAAAAAGGUCGAAGGAAUGUGGCAUCUUUGGAUGUGUUAUAGCCUUGGAUUGCAUACAAUGGUUGGGAUUGAGGAACUCAGCACGCCGCAAGGCCGGGUUAUUAACCACGUACGUGCUUAGGAUGCUGGCAUAAUGGCUUUAAUCGACCCGUCUUGAAACACGGACCAAGGAGUC
This 267-nucleotide ribosomal RNA is filed under the name Phlegmacium aurilicis. Its description in RNAcentral is "partial large subunit ribosomal RNA". It matches the Rfam family "Eukaryotic large subunit ribosomal RNA", at positions 419 to 675 of the family's 3401-position model. Lineage: Eukaryota; Fungi; Basidiomycota; Agaricomycetes; Agaricales; Cortinariaceae. The record is from RNAcentral.